CCAUCGCCGACCAUGGUUUCCCCACCUUCUCCUCCUCCCUCCCCUCCCUUCCCCUCUCCUCAUGACAGAAGAGAAGUAAGACGGACACGAGGGAGGGAUCCCGUCCGGCGACGACCCUCCUCGCUGGAUCCAGUGUCGCCACGCCAUGCCAAUUAAUGACGAGAGUGAGAUAGGCAGCACGAGACAACGCUGACACCGGCCGCGAUGAGGAGGCACAUGCUCUAGCUCAUCGCUUGUGCGGUGCGCACCUCCGCUUCUCAUCCUCAUCCUCAGCACCAUCUACAUCGGGUCAGCACGAACCCCCGACCAUCCCAAAUUUGUCGUUGCUCCGUUGUUCCCCUUCUGUCUCUAUAGCAGUCGAUGGAUGUGUUUUUGUGCGUGGCUUCUUCACGUGAUAGGUCGCCGCGCUGAGAGCGUUGACAGGUUUCUUCUGGCUCGAAACUGCCACAGGCGCGUGUGCGGCUGCCUGUGCGGUGCAGGGCGGUUUGAAGUCUACGACGGCCCUGGGUGCAGGUGUCUCUACUUCUUCUGGUGCGGCGGGGGGCGGCUCGAAGCCUGCAGCGGUGGCAUCGGGUUCUGAUGGCAGUGGCCAUCGCGGCGGGCGGGAUGGGAAGUCGCAGCAAGGGGACUCCGGAAGUCUGUCCGAGGAGGGAUAUCAACAGGACCUCCUGGUGGUUACCUGCACGCGACAACAACCACGACCAAGAUACGAAAACAUGAACAUCUCCCCGACUUGCUGAAGCUCGACAGGGGCCUUCCCGGAUCGAGGCUAGAUCAGAUGUUGGCCUUCAUUCUUUAAAAGUUGGGUGUACAAGAGCUUUAGGAAGAAAAAUCCCGAAGAAAACCCACUCCCACCAAUGCGUUUUAGCUCACUAUAGCUAGUUAUGUGUAUAUUUAGUUGUAUUUUAUAGAUGAAUACCAGAUUUGUAUGAUGUAUGAUUGUAAUGUACUUUGCUUGGUUGUUGUAUGAAAUAUUAUGCCUGAUUGGAUCUUUUUGAAUCAUAUUA
Hordeum vulgare subsp. vulgare (domesticated barley) is the source of this 1007-nucleotide long non-coding RNA. RefSeq lists it as uncharacterized. The transcript has 3 exons. Lineage: Eukaryota; Viridiplantae; Streptophyta; Magnoliopsida; Poales; Poaceae. The record is from RefSeq and is a predicted model, not a curated record.